Molecule: non-coding RNA, 47 nt
Filed under: Prorocentrum micans
Lineage: Eukaryota; Dinophyceae; Prorocentrales; Prorocentraceae
Source: RNAcentral
AAAUUUUUUUUUUUUUUUUUUUUUUUUUUUUUUCAAAUGAAUCGAAA